Molecule: ribosomal RNA, 577 nt
Filed under: uncultured bacterium
Lineage: Bacteria
Description: partial 16S ribosomal RNA
Rfam family: Bacterial small subunit ribosomal RNA
Source: RNAcentral
UGGGGAAUUUUGGACAAUGGGCGAAAGCCUGAUCCAGCAAUGCCGCGUGUGUGAAGAAGGCCUUCGGGUUGUAAAGCACUUUUGUCCGGAAAGAAAUCCUUGGCUCUAAUACAGUCGGGGGAUGACGGUACCGGAAGAAUAAGCACCGGCUAACUACGUGCCAGCAGCCGCGGUAAUACGUAGGGUGCAAGCGUUAAUCGGAAUUACUGGGCGUAAAGCGUGCGCAGGCGGUUUGCUAAGACCGAUGUGAAAUCCCCGGGCUCAACCUGGGAACUGCAUUGGUGACUGGCAGGCUAGAGUAUGGCAGAGGGGGGUAGAAUUCCACGUGUAGCAGCGAAAUGCGUAGAGAUGUGGAGGAAUACCGAUGGCGAAGGCAGCCCCCUGGGCCAAAUACUGACGCUCAUGCACGAAAGCGUGGGGAGCAAACAGGAUUAGAUACCCUGGUAGUCCACGCCCUAAACGAUGUCAACUAGUUGUUGGGGAUUCAUUUCCUUAGUAACGUAGCUAACGCGUGAAGUUGACCGCCUGGGGGAGUACGGUCGCAAGAUUAAAACUCAAAUGAAUUGACGGGGUCAUA